GCCGGGGUAACAGAGUGGAAUCCCGCGAAUCCGGUUCGCGUCGGGGUCACGUGGGUUCGAAUCCCAUCCCCGGCGCCA
Molecule: transfer RNA, 78 nt
Filed under: Nitrososphaerota archaeon
Lineage: Archaea; Thermoproteati; Nitrososphaerota
Description: Thaumarchaeota archaeon tRNA-Ala
Rfam family: tRNA
About the family: Transfer RNA (tRNA) molecules are approximately 80 nucleotides in length. Their secondary structure includes four short double-helical elements and three loops (D, anti-codon, and T loops). Further hydrogen bonds mediate the characteristic L-shaped molecular structure. tRNAs have two regions of fundamental functional importance: the anti-codon, which is responsible for specific mRNA codon recognition, and the 3' end, to which the tRNAs corresponding amino acid is attached (by aminoacyl-tRNA synthetases). tRNAs cope with the degeneracy of the genetic code in two manners: having more than one tRNA (with a specific anti-codon) for a particular amino acid; and 'wobble' base-pairing, i.e. permitting non-standard base-pairing at the 3rd anti-codon position.
Source: RNAcentral